This 253-nucleotide ribosomal RNA is filed under the name uncultured bacterium. Its description in RNAcentral is "partial 16S ribosomal RNA". It matches the Rfam family "Bacterial small subunit ribosomal RNA", at positions 524 to 776 of the family's 1533-position model. The record is from RNAcentral.
UACGUAGGGUGCAAGCGUUGUCCGGAAUUAUUGGGCGUAAAGAGCGUGUAGGCGGCCCGAUUAGUCCGCUGUGAAAGUCCAGGGCUCAACCCUGGAAUGCCGGUGGAUACUGUCGGGCUAGAGUCCGGAAGGGGCGAGUGGAAUUCCUGGUGUAGCGGUGAAAUGCGCAGAUAUCAGGAGGAACACCAAUGGCGAAGGCAGCUCGCUGGGACGUGACUGACGCUGAGACGCGAAAGCCAGGGGAGCAAACGGG